GGUUUGGGCCAAAAAUAUGGAAGCUAGGUAAGGUUGUUGUUCCCCUUGAUGGUCAUGUGCCUGUCUAAGCAAUUAGUCCAGGUACACCUUAGUACACGACCUAAACUCCAUAAGCCCAUGAAAUCAAUUAUGUGGACAAAUUUUACUGCUCAUUGUAGGCUUUUCAGCACCAGCUUCUAUGAUAUAACGAAAUAAUAAUCCUGUCUUCAAUUUAAAUAGCUCUGAGAUCUAAAGUAAUGGUCAAGAGAUAGACACAGGAAUAUUUGUAUGGUUAUAUAAGAGCUGAAAUUAAGUUAUUGCCUCCAGAAUGUCUACGGUAGGAGCCUUUUUUACCAAGGAUAUCUUUCUUGGUGAGGCCCAAAAGUAAGAGUUUAGAAGACAGCCAUAUAGCAUUAUAGUUCUGACCAUAAAUAACGUUGACUGAAGAUUGGCAGUAGUUCUAAGAUCGGCUUUACUGGCAGUCCCCGAGAAACCAUUGAGAAUUUGAGC
This 489-nucleotide non-coding RNA is filed under the name Trichobilharzia regenti. Its description in RNAcentral is "Eukaryotic small subunit ribosomal RNA". It matches the Rfam family "Eukaryotic small subunit ribosomal RNA", at positions 637 to 1112 of the family's 1831-position model. The record is from Rfam by way of RNAcentral. Lineage: Eukaryota; Metazoa; Platyhelminthes; Trematoda; Strigeidida; Schistosomatidae.